Molecule: long non-coding RNA, 753 nt
Organism: Frieseomelitta varia
Lineage: Eukaryota; Metazoa; Arthropoda; Insecta; Hymenoptera; Apidae
Exons: 3
Source: RefSeq, a predicted model, not a curated record
GUAUAACGACUUCAUACUCGAUAUUCGAAAACAAUCGUAUCGCCCCUAUCGUUGUUUGCAAAGUAAACGUAAUAUUCGAGGCAUAUCUCGCCAGAAAAGGAAGUGAACAAUGCGCGUUGUUCGUGAUGCCGGAUGAGGAUGAUCGAUGCAAACGACACGGUUGAAAAGUAAGCACGACAGGAGGAAUGAUAAUAGGAUAAUUUUUCAAUUUGAACUAUUUUUAAACUGCGAGAACACCCAUUAACCGGGGCGCGUUGCCCGCUAUUGAAACGAAGUAAAAUAAAACCGGUCUUUAACGUCGCACGACGGAUAUUAUCGAUUCUUAGAAAUUUAACUACUCUUGGAAACCAAGAAACAGAUAAAACUUAUGUUUUUACUGGCAUGAUUUCUCGUCUUAAUUUUGUAUUCCGAGUUCCCUUGAAAUUUUUCUCUUGUUUACUAAAACGAGAGUAAGAUUGGAAUAUAAAAAUUCAAGGACUUGGGGUUAAUCUUAUAUUACUGCCAAAGAGGCAUGCUCAGCCGCAUCUUGGACGAGCUAAAAUUACAGCAUCGUAUUUAACAAAGUGUAGUUUACGCCUCGGUGAUAUUCAUACAGCAAAACACGUAACAAAAAAAAUACCGCCAAAGACUGAAAUGUUUUACGGUAAACAAAGUGCGACUAAUAAUAGCACAGAUGCUUCGAAUUUUCUGUUCAACAGCAUGCAAUGUGCAAAAAUUUCCGGUUAAACGGAUUUCUCAUUUUAUAUUUUGUAA